UAGAGAUGGGGUCUCACUAUGUUGCCCAAGCUGGUCUCUAACUCCUGGCCUCAAGGGAACCUCCAGCCUUGGCCUCACAAAGCACUGGGAUUACAGCUUAGAUAUUCACUAUGAGAAUUAAUUCCAUGUGAUAAUCCAAAGGCAGGCCAAGGUGAGAGGAUUGCUUGACACCAGGAGAGACCAGCCUGGGCAGCAAAAGACGACCCUGUCUCUACAAAAAAUAAAAGUAAACAUAGUCAAGUGCAGUGGUGCAUACCUGUAGUUCCAGCUACUUCGGAGGCUGAGAUGGGAGGAUCAUUUGAGCCCAGGAGAUCGAGGCUGCAGUGAGCUAUGAUUGCACCACUGCACUGUAGCCUGGACAACAGAGAGACCCUGUCUAACAUGAAAUGAAAUAAAAUAAUUUUAAAAAUAAUAAAAAUAAAAUAAAAUUAUUUUUCUUCUUUCCAACGUCACUACCUCUAUCCUUAUCCAACUUACCUUUGAGUGGCCAAGCCUUUCAGUUCUGUAAACCAAGCAAUCCACAUUCACUGUUACCCACUACAAUACAAAUGCCACCUAAACAAAUAGCCAGUGUCACCUUCUUAAAACACUAAUAAUAUGGUGUUUCCUGCCGUAAUUAAGCCCUUUACAGACUGCUCAUCAUUCUUGGGAUAAAACCAAGCUUUUUUACGUGUUAAAAACAUGCCCAUUUGCCCACCCCUCCAAUCUCAUCUGAAGCUGGGCUGCUCUUCCUUUACAAAGUUCCUAUCAUUCUAGAAUUCUCAUAAUUCCUCCUUGGUGCCAAUAUGAAUUCUCUCCCAACAUGCAACCUGUUCAUGUGCCAUUCUAUCUGGAACACUAUUCUCCUCCCUCUUUACCUAGCCAAUAGUUAUAUAUUCUUUGUGUCUUAUUUUAAAUGUCACUUCCUCUAGGAAAGCAUAUUUUAUAUGCCAUUCUAGCUCCCUGAAGUUCUUCAUAACACUUAUCACAAUGUAUGAAAUUAUUUUUCUUUUAGAAUGUAUUUUUAAUUUUAUUUUUUAUUAAAAUAUUAUAGUUCUACACAUUUAUGUACAUAUAUUUUGAUACAUGCAUACAGUGUGUAAUGAUCAAAUCAAUAUAAUUGGGUAUUGAUCGCUUCAAAUAUUUAUCAUUUUUUUGUGUUGGGGACAGUCCAAAUCUUGUCUUCGAGUUCUUUUGAAAUAUACAAUAAAUUAGUUAACUGUUGUCACCCUACUGUGCUAUCAAACACUAGAAUUUAGUCCUUCUAACUGUAUUUUUAUAUCCAUUAACCAACCUUUCUUCAACUCUACCCACCCUCUCCUUUCCCUGCUUUUGGUAAUCACCGUUCUAUUUACCACCUUUGUGAAAUCAGUUGUUUCAGCUCCCACAUAUGAGUGAGAACAUGGAACAUUUGUCUUUCCGUGCCUGGCUUAUUUCACUUAACCUCCUUCAGGUUUGUACAUGUUGCUGCAAAUAACAAGAUUUUAUUAUUUUUUAUGGCUGAAUAAUAUUCCAUCAUUUGUCCUUUUUCUACACACCUUCCUGUAUUUCACUGUUGUCAUUCAAUAAUACUACAGGAUAGUCUCUAAGACAAGUAUUCAUUUUUUUAUGGCCACAUGAUAUUCCAUGCUACAGAUGAAUGCUAAUAUACUCAAUCAUUUCUCCUGUAAUCUCAGCACUCUGGGAGGCCAAGCUGGGCAGAUCACAUGAGGCCAGGAGUUCAAGACCAGCCUGGCCAAUGUGGUGAAAUCCCAUCUCUAGUAAAAAUACAAAAAUUAGCCAGGCAUGGUGGUGCCUGCCGUAAUCCCAGUUGAUUGGGAAGCUAAGGUGGGAGAAAUUUUGAACCUAGGAAACAGAGGUUGCAGUGAGCCAUGCUUGCACCACUGCACUCCAGCCUGGGCAACAGAAUGAAUCCAUCUCAAAAAAAAUUAAAUUAUUUAUCUAUUAUUGAAUAUUAACUUUGUUCCCAGUUUUUAGCUACUCUGCACAAUGAUGAAAUAAAAAUCCUUACAGAUAUACACUUUAUGUGCUGAUGCUUUAUCUCUAGUAGCUAGUAUCCAAGGAUUAUAUACCACUUUUAAGAACACAUGUAUUUUAUAUUGUUAUAGAUGUGGUCAGAUCAAGUUCUUUUAAAAGGCUGUAAAGUCUUAUAUUUCUACAAGUGAUAUAUAAAAUUCUAUUUUCUUCAUGUACUGGCCAGAAAUUAUAAAUAUAUUUACAGCGUAAUGAGCAUGAAACUAUAUAUCAUGGUUAUUUAAAUUUGCAUUCCCCUUACUGUUAAUGAAGCUGGAAAUCUUCCUAUGAAUUUGUUGCCUAUUUGGAUUUAUCCUUUCCUGUGUAUUGCCUAUCUACUAGAUUGCCUAUUUUCCUUUGCCUUGUUUUUCUUUGUCACUUUGUAAAAUAUUUUUGGUAUAUUAUAGAUAUUAACUGUGUGCUAUAUAUAUUACAUUGUUUUUUAUUCCAGAUCAAACAUUUAUGUAUCAACAUUGUAAUAUUUUGUAUAAAAAUUUCACAUUUCAAAUAGUCAAAGAUGUUUAUUCCUUCUUAUAUGUCUCUGCUUUCUCUGUGUUGGUUAAGCAAGCAUCUUUUUGAUUUCACAUGCAUUUUUAAUGUUUUUCACAAGAUGUUUAAUGUUUUUUUUAUUAUUAUAAGUUUUAGGGUACAUGUGCACAAUGUGCAGGUUAGUUACAUAUGUAUACAUGUGCCAUGCUGGUGUGCUGCACGCACUAACUCGUCAUCUAGCAUUAGGUAUAUCUCCCAAUGUUAUCCCUCCCCCCUCCCCCACCCCACAACAAUCCCCAGAGUGUGAUGUUCCCCUUCCUGUGUCCAUAUGUUCUCAUUGUUCAAUUCCCACCUAUGAGUGAGAAUAUGCAGUGUUUGGUUUUUUGUUCUUGUGAUAGUUUACUGAGAAUGAUAAUGUUUUAAUAUUUUUCUCUUGAAUUUAAUGUUAAUCUACUUGUACUUUGUAUGUGGCAUAAAAUUUGUGUUCCCUAUUAUUUAUUCCAAAAUGAAUAGCCAGUUGGCCCAGCAUUGCUUAUUGAAUAAUUCAUCUUUUUCCCACUAAAUCAAAGUAUUACUUUUGGCAUGUGAUAAAUUCACGUACACAAUUAUAUGGUCUAUUUCUGCAUUUUCUAUUUUCUUCCAUAACUUGUUUAGUCCUGUGUCAAUAUUAUGUUGAUGUGGUUAUAAAGGCUUUGUUUUUUAGUAUUAUGAUAUCUGAUUUUAAAAAGAGUCAUACCAUAAUUUAUAUAUUUGGCUAUAUUUUAAUAUUUAAUACUAUUUAUAUUUAAAGCUAUUUAAUCCAAUUUCCUCUACUUACAAAUAAAGUUGUUGGCACUCUACCAAGUUAUAAAUGUAUGACACUUACAAAUUAAUUUCUGAAAAACUUAAAUUUUGUGAUACUGAGUCUCAUCAUUCAAGAACAUUGCAGGUCCCCCAAAUCUUCUGCCCUGAUGAAUAAAUGACAGACAGCUGGGUUUGGAU
RNAcentral lists this long non-coding RNA (3462 nucleotides) under Homo sapiens (human). RNAcentral describes it as "HSALNT0141724". Lineage: Eukaryota; Metazoa; Chordata; Mammalia; Primates; Hominidae. The record is from RNAcentral.